GACGAACGCUGGCGGCGUGCCUAAUACAUGCAAGUUGAGCGCUGAAGGUUGGUACUUGUACCAACUGGAUGAGCAGCGAACGGGUGAGUAACGCGUGGGGAAUCUGCCUUUGAGCGGGGGACAACAUUUGGAAACGAAUGCUAAUACCGCAUAAAAACUUUAAACACAAGUUUUAAGUUUGAAAGAUGCAAUUGCAUCACUCAAAGAUGAUCCCGCGUUGUAUUAGCUAGUUGGUGAGGUAAAGGCUCACCAAGGCGAUGAUACAUAGCCGACCUGAGAGGGUGAUCAGCCACAUUGGGACUGAGACACGGCCCAAACUCCUACGGGAGGCAGCAGUAGGGAAUCUUCGGCAAUGGACGAAAGUCUGACCGAGCAACGCCGCGUGAGUGAAGAAGGUUUUCGGAUCGUAAAACUCUGUUGGUGGAGAAGAACGUUGGUGAGAGUGGAAAGCUCAUCAAGUGACGGUAACUACCCAGAAAGGGACGGCUAACUACGUG
This 497-nucleotide ribosomal RNA is filed under the name uncultured bacterium. RNAcentral's name for it is "partial 16S ribosomal RNA". It matches the Rfam family "Bacterial small subunit ribosomal RNA", at positions 28 to 507 of the family's 1533-position model. The record is from RNAcentral.